GUAGGUGGCAAGCGUUGUCCGGAAUUAUUGGGCGUAAAGCGCGCGCAGGUGGGUUCUUUAAGUCUGAUGUGAAAGCCCCCGGGCUCAACCGGGGAGGGUCAUUGGAAACUGGGGAACUUGAGUGCAGGAGAGGAAAGUGGAAUUCCACGUGUAGCGGUGAAAUGCGUAGAUGUGUGGAGGAACACCAGUGGCGAAGGCGACUUUCUGGCCUGUAACUGACACUGAGGCGCGAAAGCGUGGGGAGCAAACAGGAUUAGAUACCCUGGUAGUCCACGCCGUAAACGAUGAGUGCUAAGUGUUGGGGGGUUUCCGCCCCUCAGUGCUGCAGCUAACGCAUUAAGCACUCCGCCUGGGGAGUACGGUCGCAAGACUG
RNAcentral lists this ribosomal RNA (373 nucleotides) under uncultured organism. Its description in RNAcentral is "partial 16S ribosomal RNA". It matches the Rfam family "Bacterial small subunit ribosomal RNA", at positions 527 to 896 of the family's 1533-position model. The record is from RNAcentral.